GCCCCAGUGGCCUAAUGGAUAAGGCACUGGCCUCCUAAGCCAGGGAUUGUGUGUUCAAGUCCCAUCUGGGGUG
RNAcentral lists this transfer RNA (73 nucleotides) under Hymenochirus boettgeri (Congo dwarf clawed frog). It matches the Rfam family "tRNA". Rfam says of the family: Transfer RNA (tRNA) molecules are approximately 80 nucleotides in length. Their secondary structure includes four short double-helical elements and three loops (D, anti-codon, and T loops). Lineage: Eukaryota; Metazoa; Chordata; Amphibia; Anura; Pipidae. The record is from Rfam by way of RNAcentral. RNAcentral also lists the same sequence under 3 other names.